GUACUGAUGAAGAGUCCCAAAGCAGGACGAAACAGCUGUCCAGUAC
Non-coding RNA from Trichobilharzia regenti, 46 nucleotides. Lineage: Eukaryota; Metazoa; Platyhelminthes; Trematoda; Strigeidida; Schistosomatidae. The record is from Rfam.